GAACCAUCAAUCUUCCGCUGGGUUUCACGUCGACGCUGAAACAUGGUAGCAACAGCCGAGACGUAACUUUGAUCAUGCUAACGCAGGAAAACUUUAACGUAGGGGUCCGAGGUUCCUCCCAUGUCCAUGGCAGCGAGGUCCUGAGCCUGGAGGAUCCCCACUAUCAGCUUCAGCAGAAAGAAAAACGAAUCAAACGUGACGAUACAGCUGAAAACUGGAAGUUAUUCAUGCAUCAGUGAGUUCUUACGGAUUAGGGAUGCAAGUUAUCGUUCAAUGAGGAAACGUCUCUCCGUGAUUCAUCGUGGAACAGCAGACGAGGUGAGACUGGCUGCGGAGCGAAAAUCAACCCACCUUUUCUCCG
Long non-coding RNA from Xiphophorus maculatus (southern platyfish), 361 nucleotides. RefSeq lists it as uncharacterized. The transcript has 3 exons. NCBI's taxonomy places the organism in Eukaryota, Metazoa, Chordata, Actinopteri, Cyprinodontiformes, Poeciliidae. The record is from RefSeq and is a predicted model, not a curated record.